This 54-nucleotide non-coding RNA is filed under the name unclassified sequences. The record is from Rfam.
CCGGUUCCGGUUCACGCCCGAUAUCCCAGGUCAGGAACGGGCGACCCGGCGGCC